GGGUUAGGCAUUGACCUCGAGUGGUUAAGGAUAACCGAUUGGUCAGGGGAUUGGACCUGUACAUGUAAGCAUGGAUGCCUGGCCAAUAGUAGUGUGUGAAUGCUAUUUAAAGGGCAGGUCUUGGCGUGGCCAUAGUAGGAUUCGUAAAAUUCUCUGCCAGGACAUUUGGU
Long non-coding RNA from Sander lucioperca (pikeperch), 170 nucleotides. RefSeq lists it as uncharacterized. Lineage: Eukaryota; Metazoa; Chordata; Actinopteri; Perciformes; Percidae. The record is from RefSeq and is a predicted model, not a curated record. The transcript has 2 exons.